This 459-nucleotide ribosomal RNA is filed under the name uncultured bacterium. RNAcentral's name for it is "partial 16S ribosomal RNA". It matches the Rfam family "Bacterial small subunit ribosomal RNA", at positions 338 to 795 of the family's 1533-position model. The record is from RNAcentral.
CCUACGGGUGGCAGCAGUGAGGAAUAUUGGUCAAUGGGCGCGAGCCUGAACCAGCCAAGUCGCGUGAGGGAAGACGGUCCUAUGGAUUGUAAACCUCUUUUGUCGGGGAGCAAAAGACGCCACGCGUGGCGUUCCGAGAGUCCCCGAAGAAAAAGCAUCGGCAAACUCCGUGCCAGCAGCCGCGGUAAUACGGGGGAUGCGAGCGUUAUCCGGAGUUAUUGGGUUUAAAGGGUGCGCAGGCGGAAGAUCAAGUCAGCGGUAAAAUUGAGAGGCUCAACCUCGUCGAGCCGUUGAAACUGGUGUUCUUGAGUGAGCGAGAAGUAUGCGGAAUGCGUGGUGUAGCGGUGAAAUGCAUAGAUAUCACGCAGAACUCCGAUUGCGAAGGCAGCAUACCGGCGCUCAACUGACGCUCAUGCACGAAAGUGUGGGUAUCGAACAGGAUUAGAUACCCCAGUAGUC